Molecule: ribosomal RNA, 200 nt
Filed under: uncultured bacterium
Lineage: Bacteria
Description: partial 16S ribosomal RNA
Rfam family: Bacterial small subunit ribosomal RNA
Source: RNAcentral
UACGUAGGGUGCAAGCGUUGUUCGGAAUCAUUGGGCGUAAAGCGUGCGCAGGCGGUUUUUGUAAGUCAGAUGUGAAAAUCCCCGGGCUUAACCCUGGGAACUGCGUUGGUGUACUGGCAGGCUUUGAGUGUGCAGAGGGAGGUGAGAAUUCCAGCGUGUAGCACGUGAAAUGCGUAGAGAAUGUGGAGGAAUACCGAUGG